UACUUGGAUACAGUGAAGCGUUGAGGCA
This 28-nucleotide non-coding RNA is filed under the name Bombyx mori (domestic silkworm). Lineage: Eukaryota; Metazoa; Arthropoda; Insecta; Lepidoptera; Bombycidae. The record is from RNAcentral.